Molecule: long non-coding RNA, 1963 nt
Filed under: Salvia miltiorrhiza (redroot sage)
Lineage: Eukaryota; Viridiplantae; Streptophyta; Magnoliopsida; Lamiales; Lamiaceae
Description: long non-coding RNA (SMIL_LNC006564)
Source: RNAcentral
UUCGUUUCCCAUUUCCUUAGUUCCUGCCGCCCUCACGCCCCACCCAUUCUACCAUCUCCGCCGCGCCGAGCCCCUCCCGACCCCGCCCACCGCGCCGUGCCGCUCCCCCGCGCCGUGCCGCUCCCCCGCGCCGCGCCCAGUUCCCAGCAAGAUCCGCGCCCAGAUUUGACGGUUAAUUUGGGGAUCUAGGGUUCCAAUUUGGGCUCCACCACCUCCCACCGCCGUCGCGCCACCUCCCACCGCUGAAGCAACCACUGACGCCAGCCACCGACGAAUAUGUAGGUUUUUUGGCUCCGAUCUGGGUGUUCCACCGCCUCUCGGUCUCUCCUCCCCUCUUUUAGAUUUAUUUUUGUAGAUCUAAAGCUAAUAUGUAGCCACCGGCGAAUAGAUCUCGGGCGGAUCUUGGAAUACUUAAGUGGGUUUCGAUUUGUUUUGAUUUUGUUCGAUUUUUGUUUCUCUUGUCUUGAAUGUGCUGUGGAUUUAUUUUUCUUUCUCAUACACUCCAUUUCCAAACUUUGACGCUACAGAGGAUGCGAAGCCAAUAUUUGUAGUUUGUGUAUAUUUUUUAGUGUUGUUAUGAUAUUCUUCUAAUUUCUCUUUUAGUCGUGUUAUUUACGCUUGAGCAAGGGAUUUGCUAAUUGGUUUCUGCAGCAUUAGCAUCUUUUCUUCUGUUUAGUGCAUACAUGGAUGAAGUAGGUUCAUUUGCACAUGUACAAUUUCAUCAGGUAAGCAUUCUAGUUCUUGACUAAAAAAAAUUUAUCCCUGCUAUUUGUUUACCUAUGAAAUAGGGGAUGCCUGAAUCAAAGAACUCUUGUUAGGACCUGUCUACUUGGUUUGAUUACUGACUUUAUUAUAUUUUUGUUUAAUCUAUUAGUUUCAUAUCUUCUUGAACUAUUACAGGUUGAUAUCGCCAUUCCUGAAGUGUUUAUUUGUGGGCUUCUGGGCUCUAUGCUUAUAUUUCUAUUUAGUGCAGAUGGAAACAUGGAAACAUGCAGCCUGAAAAACCUAUUUGUGAGCAGAUGCUCUAGUUGUUACGCUUGAGUGUAGGAACGCUGGCGAUUAUUAGACUGUGCAGUAUCAAGUUCACCCUCUCUGUUUCUUCUUUUUCCCCUGUGUCUGUUCCAACUGUUAGUACUGGUUUCUUUUGAAUUUGUCUAAUUCUUUGUAUUACUUUUUUGUUGGUUUUUAUUUAAUUUGAAUAUUUUUUAUAUCUGUAGGAUGCUAUUUGCAAGGAGAUUCAAGACCCAAUGCCAUGUUUUAUGAAAUUAUGUUUAUUAUGUAAUUUUGGUACUUUUUUUGGGAUUUAUUUUGUGAUUUUGUAUUGUGGAUUGAAAUUUGUGGAGUGAACUACAAAAUAGGUUGUAUAUAUUAUUAAUACACGAACCGAGCUCAAACUCGAGCCUGAAUUCGAAUUCGAGCUCGAGUUCGGUUUUGAAAUCGAACUCUAAAAUCGAGCCAAGCUCGAGCUCGAGCUCGAGUUCGAACUAAACGAAUAAUUAACGAACCGAAUACGAAUCGAGCUCGAACUUAGUAUUAUUUCAUCGAGCCGAGCUCGAGCUCAUUUUAAAGCUCGAUCUCGAGCUCGAGCCGAAUUCGAGCCUGCCCAAAAAUUCGCGAACCGAGCCCGAGCCUAGAGGUAUUCGGUUCGGCUCGGUUCGUUUACAGCCCUAUUUCUGAGUGAGAACAUGUUAAAUGAGUAUUGCAAAUGAGAACCAAUCGUCCAAUCCCCUCACCUCAUCUCUAUCUUUUUUUCCAUUUUCAGUUGGAGACACUUACAGAAACAUUCUAGAACCUUUGUCGAAAUAUAUCAAUGAGACUCAAAUAUGUCCUUUUUUAUUUAUAAGAAUAUAUGUUUGAAAAGGUUUUAUGGGCUAUAAUCACACAAUCGAUUGAUAAAUAUUACUCCCUCCAUUCCAUAACAAGUGUUUUAAUUUCUUUUUUGAGUUGUACCAUAAUAAGUGUU